This 2087-nucleotide ribosomal RNA is filed under the name marine metagenome. RNAcentral describes it as "bacterial LSU rRNA". It matches the Rfam family "Bacterial large subunit ribosomal RNA", at positions 1 to 2063 of the family's 2925-position model. The record is from RNAcentral.
GUCAGGUAGUAAGGGCGCAGGGCGGAUGCCUUGGCUCUGGGAAGCGAUGAAGGACGUGGCUAGCUGCGAUAAGCCUCGGGGAAGAGCAAACAUCUUUUGAUCCGGGGAUUUCCGAAUGGGGGAACCCGCAUGGCUGUUGAGGCCAUGCACUGUUGAGUGAAUACAUAGCUCAUCAGGGCGAACUCGGGGAACUGAAACAUCUCAGUACCCGAAGGAAUAGAAAUCAACCGAGAUUCUGCUAGUAGCGGCGAGCGAACGCGGAAGAGCCCAAACCAUCAGGUGCGCCUGAUGGGGUUGUAGGGCCGUCAAUAAAGGAUAAUUGGAGAAUUAGCUGAAGUGUCUGGGAAGGCACGGCACAGAGGGUUAGACCCCCGUAAGCGAAAGUUUGAAGAUGUCCGAGACGGUACCUGAGUAGGACGGGACACGAGAAAUCCCGUUUGAAUCUGGGGGGACCACCCUCCAAGGCUAAAUAUUACCCAGAGACCGAUAGUGAACCAGUACCGUGAGGGAAAGGUGAAAAGCACCUCGAAUAGAGGAGUGAAAUAGAUCCUGAAACCCUGUGUCUACAAGCAGUGGAAGCACUACUGAUCUUCGGAUCAUGUGCGACCGCGUGCCUUUUGCAUAAUGAGCCAACGAGUUGUCUGUCGGUGGCAGGUUAAGUUUUUAACGAAGCCACAGCGAAAGCGAGUCCGAAAUGGGCGUUAGUCAUCGGCAACAGACCCGAAACCGAGUGAUCUACCCCUGUCCAGGUUGAAGCCUGGGUAAGACCAGGUGGAAGACCGAACCGUUGAGCCUUAAAACGUUCUCGGAUGAGGUGGGGGUAGGAGUGAAAGGCUAAUCAAACUCGGAGAUAGCUGGUUCUCCCCGAAAUAUAUUGAGGUAUAGCCUCGUGAUAGACCGCCGGAGGUAGAGCACUGGAUGGACUAGGGCCCUCACCAGGGUACCAAACCCAACCAAACUGCGAAUACCGGCGAGUUGUUUCACGGGAGUCAGACAGCGGGAGCUAACUUUCGUUGUCGAGAGGGAAACAACCCAGACCAUCAGCUAAGGCCCCCAAGUCAUGACUAAGUGGGAAAGGAAGUGGGAGCGCCCAGACAACCAGGAGGUUGGCUUAGAAGCAGCCACCCUUUAAAGAAAGCGUAACAGCUCACUGGUCGAGCGAGCCUGCACCGAAAAUAUAACGGGGCUCAAGUCAUGCGCCGAAGCUAUGGGAUUUAUAUUUAUAUAAAUCGGUAGGGGAGCGUUCCCUGUGCGGCGAAGCUGAAUCGAGAGGGUCAGUGGAGCGCAGGGAAGUGAGGAUGUUGGCAUAAGUAACGAAAAUGCGAGCGAGAAACUCGCACGCCGAAAGCCCAAGGUUUCCCGGGCCAUGUUAUUCAGCCCGGGGUUAGUCGGCACCUAAGACGAGGCCGAAAGGCGUAGUCGAUGGAAAACCGGUUCAUAUUCCGGUACUUGCAUGUGCGCGUGAUGGAGGGACGCAGGAGGAUAGCCCGGCCAAGUGAUGGAUAUCUUGGUUCAAGGCCGUAGGCGGAAGUCUCAGGUAAAUCCGGGACUUCUAUAACGCCGAGAGUCGAUGACGAGAGGCUUUGCUUCGCAAAGCGGUCGAUUCCACACUGCCAAGAAAAGCUUCUAAGCAUAGCACAGGCAAACCGUACCCCAAACCGACACAGGUGGGCGGGUAGAGAAUACCAAGGCGCUUGAGGGAAAUCAUGUUAAGGAACUCUGCAAAAUAACUCCGUAACUUCGGAAGAAGGAGUGCCUGCGGUGGUGAAGGGACUUGCUCCCUGAGCUGCUGCGGGCCGCAGUGACCAGGCCCAGCCGACUGUUUAGCAAAAACACAGCACUCUGCUAAAUCGCAAGAUGAUGUAUAGGGUGUGACGCCUGCCCGGUGCCGGAAGGUUAAUGGGAGGGGUUAGUUCUUCGGAACGAAGCUCCGAACUGAAGCCCCGGUAAACGGCGGCCGUAACUAUAACGGUCCUAAGGUAGCGAAAUUCCUUGUCGGGUAAGUUCCGACCUGCACGAAUGGCGUAACGAUCUGGGCGCUGUCUCAAUGUGAUUCUCAGUGAAAUUGAAAUGGCGGUGAAGAUACC